GGCGGAGGGGAGGGGUGCUGGGCAGCCGCCCGCCCACGCGAGGAAGGAGUCGGCAGAGGUGGGGAAGCUCCUGCCUCGGCCUGAGCUGCCGCUGCCUGGUGCCCACCCUAGGAAUGAGAGGUGGGGGCUUCUCAUUGCUGCAGCCCUGAGCGGAGAAGCUCCCGCCGCAGAGUCUGGACCAUAAAUAAUCUACCAUGUAAACAUCAAUCUCAGAGUGGUAGGUUACAAAUCUAUGUCUGUUAAAGUCAUCUUUUUGGUGAUAUUAAUGUGGAUCCUAUACAUGUGGGAUUGAAGUUUCGUAUGUGAAUUUUCAUGUAUCUGCAUGCUUGGUGAGUUCCAUUUGCCUUUGCUAACUUCAUCUUUGAUCUCUGUCCCUCUGUCAGUGAUGUAAUUAAAUAUGCCUUCCUAGUGCACCUUGUCUUUGUAUAUUGACAAUAGCUUUAAAAGUAUUUAAAAUUAGAAGUCCGUGGAAAACCUGGCUCAUUGUUCUCUCAUUGCGCCAUUUACUGAAAACAUAAUAGCCCAAUCUGCAAAAUAUAAAGCAGCUCCUUAUCAUAAUACAGUUUAGCCACUCAAGCUCUAUUCUGAGGAACCCUCAGAACAGAGGAGUCACAGUCCUGUUAUCACAGGAACUUUACUCUGACUCAGAUUCAUUAGCAAGAGGAAUAAGCAUUUGCAGUUAAGGCAGGCUGUAGUACUCCACCCAUCGGCCUAAUUCUAACAUACCAUGGUUGCCUGAGUUUUUGUCUAUUGGUCUUCUCCUGCCUCAGCUGUUGGGAGCAUUAUAUAUACACUUUUUUUUGUAAGUCAGGCCACGCUGUCGCUUAGCUGUUUCAAACAGAAAGAAUUACAAACCAUCAAAAGGCCAUAUUUAAAGGAUUUGUGUUUCAGUUUCUUCAGGACGGUGAGCAAGCUAUUUGAGAAGCAGAAGAGAAAAGGAAUGUCUUAAGGAUAUUACUGAUCACCCAAAGCCAUCUUCUAGGCCGAAAAUGACUGUAAGGAGACCUUGGAAAGUGAAUGAAAGUGAUCUAAAGAAAAUGGGAACAGCAAACAUGGCAGGUAGCAGAAAUGGACAGAAACUAAGGAUGUUAAUCCUUGUAUUCUAUCAGGGUCCAUAUUUUGUGUGACCUGAGAAGCAGAGAUGGAAAAAAGAAUCUUAUUCCAAAUCCACUUGUUACCAAUAACACUCCUUGCACACACUCCUAGAACUGGUUGCCCUUUUACAGUUUCCUCUUAACUGCUGGGAAUUGACACUGAAAACACAUUGCAUCCACUUAGUCCCCCACUUGGUACACGUCUAAUACAGAAAAAUACUAGCUGCUGUUUGGCACAUGCACUGUUCUCUGUCCAGGGCAUGUUUAUUGGUGCAUACACAGCACUGCUGUGGUCGUGGCUACAUGACAUUUCUUCAGCAUUUGAUGUGCACAGGGAACAGGAGGGCAUGUUUUAACAGCAGUGCUCUCAAGCAUGAUUGGAUGCAGCAUAGAGCUACCUUAAGCACUUCAGUAAAAUUUAGGAAGGUAAAGAAGAGCUACGGUCAAAUUCCAUAAAGGAGAAAAAGAUUUAAAAACUCAGCAGAAACAAAAUAGAAAUUACUAGUAGGAGAGCACUUCUGAGAAGCAUUAUAUUUAUUUAGAACGCAUGAUGCCUUCACCACUACUGCAUUUUCUUCGGCUGUGUAUAUCCAGAAUAGGGUCAGAAUUUCAUCAAAGGCAUUCUGAAUUUCACUGAAUUAAACAAGAGCAUAAUUUGGAUUGUUCGUUUGGUUGUCUUUUCGGGGGGGGGGUUGCUUUAUUUUUUAAUAACCUUUUUACUUUUUUGGAGAAUAUGAAGGGGACAGGAGGGUCUGAAACUGAAAACAGUUUGCUAGGGAACAUUCACCCCUCUUAUCCAGGUUACCCCUCUUAGCUGGAACAUGGCCUGUGAAACUGUUUUCUGUUACCAGUGAAAUAAGUUAAAAGAGCACUUUAUUCACAGUGGAUGGAAUUCCAUCCUCAAUCUGACCUGUGCAAUUCCAUUUGUAACCUAGCAGCCUACAGCUUUAUCCUUGACCAGGCUGGUCUGUCUGCAUUUGCUCAGGGCUCACUACAUCUGAGUGCAAUCCAAGUCUCCAAGACUGAGGUUCAUUGAUAAGAACAGAUCUGAAGUUUGCAUAGUGCUAAUGUAAUAUACCUGCCUACAGCCAGCAACACCAUUUUCCUACUCCAAUCUGCUCUAAAAUAUACUCGUUUCCAAAAGAGACUCUUACUGUAAACUUCAUGCCAAAGCUGUGGUGCUUUGAAAAGGCAUAUUGGUGUGCUGUCAUAUAAUUGGGAGUCUUAGACUGUAUCCCACACAGGCCAACUCUGAGAAAAGAAGCAAGAAUGUAGAAUAGAACAAUAAUUGAACAAAUCUUGCAACGGGAGGUAUAUGGAUUGUGAUUUUGUGGCAGGACAAUAAGGGGCGGUAGUAUGCUGAACGACCCACCUCACUUUGCCCAACUGAAACCAUGCUUUGGGCAUCUCCCCUGGGGCACGUAUGGCUGGCUGACCCUUCCUGGAGCACACCCACAAGCCUAGGGUAAUCACUGCCGCCACUCGGGCUCUGGUCUCUGUUAGGGCUCUGUGCAGCCCAGGGUACACAGACCCUGCAGACCUUGGAGGUGCUUAGCCUGCCAUGGUAUUUUGGGGUGCUUCUGAUAGCCUGAAGCAUUCAAAAGCAACCUCCCAUACUAGAGGAAAGUAAAAAAGCCAAGCCCACUUUAGCUAGGCAAGCAAAGGGAGCUAGAAGGCUGGUCCCUUCCCUCUUCCCUCAAGAAUCCACAAGUCAGCAUGCUGUAACACAUAGCAUUUGUUGAAAUGAGAAAAAGAGACUGUAGAAGGGGUACAGGAUGGAGGAAUGUUAAGAGAAAAAAACACCUUGAGCAAAACAGAAUGGGCUUAUUGGCCCUUUUUAACAUGUGGCUAAAGAUAUGUCACUCUAAUAUACUGGCUAAAUUUCAGGUAAGUUACUCGCAUAUACAUCUGGAGAAUGAUAGAAUUCUGGAGGCUUUUUGCUUGUUUCAGUGUCCCAAAAUGACUGACCUCCCACAAGAUGGAGUGACCUAUAACAUUUUUGACCUCAUCACUAAGUUCCAACCAGAAACGGACUAUAUGAUGCAGACCAAUCUUUUUAAAAGUCAUCAGCAUCCCAAGGUGGAGUGAUCAGGGUCACACAGGUUGUUCAGUGGGAAACUUGGGACAAAGGAAGAGCAAGCUCCCCCCCUCCCUAUAGAAUUUUUACAACACAGGUGACGAGGUGGAUCCAGCAGCCAGAGUUUGAAAAUGGGACUGGGGAGCCUCAGAGCAGAGGCAGACAAAAAUGGGGAUUUCUGUUGAAAGGCUACAGGAGAUUUUCAAAGAAAUUUCUUCAGCUUUUGCACAUUUCCAUUUUUUCUUUGUAAAUGUAUAUCCUACAGACCAUACACCCUAUAAAUGUUGAAGGGCCAGAGGAGAUUCCUGCACAAGGAUACUCAUCUGAAAAAUGAAACCCCAAAUUGUCUCUAAUGGGUAUGAAAAUAAACAUUCUAUAUAGUUGAAUGCAAAGUCGGAGAAAAGCCUAUAGCUGCUAUGUUUAUUGGGUUGUUUAAUUCCCUUUACUUUCUGGGGAUGAGUGGGGGGAGUAUAAGAAUGUGUACUUGGUGUACAUUAAUGCACAGAUACAGAAGAAUGUAGGGUUGCCUUCAGGUGAUCUCCAAGUACAGCAACCUCAUCUGAAAAUUUGGUAGUAUACCUUUCAUUUGCUGCAGUUGAACACAUCCCUAAAAUUAACAAAACCUUCACAAAUAGAGUUUUUUCUGAAUUUCAGGAAAAAUCUUGAAUGCAGAUCCUGUAUGUAGAUCAAUAUGAUGCCAUGUUUAAUAAAAUGAUUUAUACAAUGUUCUUUUGUUAAUGAUUUUUAGCUAAAUAGCUGUCAAAUAUUAAGCAGAUUCCAGUUCGGCAGCUUUCCUUGUCAAAAUUUGACACAAUUUUCAUUGUACUGUUGCAUCAAACACCUGUUCCCUCUAGAUGGUGCUCCACAACCAAGAAUCAUGUUUAAUGCCAUCUCUCUUGAAAGACUAGUGAGAAAUAGUCAAGAAGACACUCUCCUUUGUCUCUGAAUUCUGUCUUAUAUUUGUUAAUCUGUGCAGCAGUUUAUAGACUGCUUGUUCUGUACAAUGUAAAUACAUUAUUUCCUACUCUUGCAAAUUUUAAAACCUAUGCACAAGAGCAUAAAAUGCAACCUGCAUGGAAUAAUAUCAUCUGUUACUCUGAGGACUGUUCCAUAUCUCAUAUCUCUUAUGGCAGCCAUUAACUGGUGUUAGCUGUUGAUCUGCUAGACGGUAUGUACAUCAUCACUACAAUUUGAUAACUUUUCUUUACAAAGGUCUCUAUAAUUUUCAAUAUUUUUAUACACGGUAUAUAGACACAAGCAGUAGACUAUAUAUAGAUGCAAAUAUUCAAAUAUGGAUAAAAUGUAUAAGAAAGCAAGCAACAUUAAUGACGAUGCUAAGUAUGUACAUAUAUUUAUAUCUAAUUAGAUUAAAUUAGAGAUUAAGUAAAUACAUUUAUUUAAAUGGUAAAAUCAUAUCAACAUUUCUGACAACCAACAUUGAUAUAGGAAAACAGGCAAGCUAUAAGGUUCCUUCCAAAGGAGGUGCUGAGUGACAGUCUAGUUUUCAUUAUUCUGGGUAUCAAUACAUCCAUAUUUAAUUGCCUGGCCCAGACCCUGCUGAAGUCAUAAGGGGUCUUUCUUCUUUUUUUCACUGGGUUUUGGAUCAGGCCCUAAAUCUCCACCUAUCCUUCAGUUAAGAUAAAAUAUUCCUUCUCAGGCAAGCAGCUACCAGUGUAGGUGGUGCUCUCAUUCCAGGGCAUAAACAAUGCACAAAAGGGCUCUGACCCCUAGAAAAGUGCAUAAUAACACUAAGCUAUUUCAGCAACUUGCAUCUAAAAAUGGAGUUCCUUUAAGUCCUGAUUCUGCAUGCCGUCAACUUCAGUAGUUAGGAACUGAAGGCAGAAUUAGUCCUGUAGUUCUUGUAUACAUGACUCAGGAUUUAUCAAGCAUCUCUGUAGCUAAGUCAGUGGAUAUACAAAUAUUACUGUUAUUUUAAUAUAAUUAUGGAUCUAGUUAAUAGUUAUCUUUUGUGCUAAAUAUUUCAUGUACAUUUUUCUUUUCCUUU
This is a long non-coding RNA of Gavialis gangeticus (Gharial), 5176 nucleotides long. RefSeq lists it as uncharacterized. The transcript has 2 exons. NCBI's taxonomy places the organism in Eukaryota, Metazoa, Chordata, Crocodylia, Gavialidae. The record is from RefSeq and is a predicted model, not a curated record.